GGAUAUGAAGGCGAUCUGACUGCAACAUCUGUCACCCCAUUGAUAGCCAGGGCUGACUCGGCUGAUCUGGCUGGCAAGGCUUGUGUCCCCUUCCUCCCUCACCACUCCACAUGUGUCCCUCCUGAAGCUGCGUACCUGGUCAUCAGUCAUGGGCAUACAGUAGCUGGGCUUCCCUGCUAGAACCUCCAAACAAGCUCAAGGUCCAGUUGCAGAAGAACGUAGGGUAGUCAAGCUUCCAAGAUUGCAGACACAUCCAAGUAAGGUGCUGCAUGUGGCAGUCUGCCAUUCUUU
Molecule: small nuclear RNA, 291 nt
Filed under: Amazona aestiva (blue-fronted amazon)
Lineage: Eukaryota; Metazoa; Chordata; Aves; Psittaciformes; Psittacidae
Description: 7SK RNA
Rfam family: 7SK RNA
About the family: 7SK was discovered as an abundant small nuclear RNA in the mid-70s but a possible function has only recently been suggested. Two independent studies have found that 7SK RNA binds the CDK9/cyclin T complex (known as elongation factor P-TEFb).
Source: Rfam by way of RNAcentral